UGGAGGACUGAGAAGGUUUAGCAGCUUGUAAGUGCUGUUUUAACUGGUUAUAACCUCCAAGAUUAACAAACAAACCACACCUGUAUCUGGCUCUGCCACAAGCUGAGCUGAUGUGUGUGUUUGUAACAACAC
This is a small nucleolar RNA of Cheilinus undulatus (humphead wrasse), 132 nucleotides long. RefSeq annotates it as small nucleolar RNA SNORA47. NCBI's taxonomy places the organism in Eukaryota, Metazoa, Chordata, Actinopteri, Labriformes, Labridae. The record is from RefSeq and is a predicted model, not a curated record. The transcript has a single exon.